GUUUUCUUACACUCGCUGUAAUGGAGUUGCUUGUCUUCAUAGUGUUUCAGCUUCUUAUUGAGGUUCAGACUGACAACACACUUCAGAAACCCUUCAUCAGUGUUAGUGACUAUGAGGAUCUGCUCAUCAUAGCAUGUGAAAUACCAGCUUCAGUCAGAGCUGAUGUGUCCUGUAAUCUCUACACUGGAGAUGGAGCUCUUCUGUACAGCCAUGACUCUCAGUUGAGUUCAUCUGGAGAUCAACAUCUUUGUAUGUUUAAUCAAAAUCUUAGUGAUCUCUUGAGAAGAUCAGGAAACAUCAGACAGUUGAGCUGUGAUUAUUCACUCAAGACUAAACCUGACAUCAGAUCUCCACACAGUGACACAUACACACUCAGAGGUAUGAUUUAAUUGUAUAUUAUUUUAACAUAUGACAGUUUUAAUGUGUCGAGACUAUCAAUCUGUAGCCA
RNAcentral lists this long non-coding RNA (448 nucleotides) under Danio rerio (zebrafish). RNAcentral's name for it is "lncRNA (ENSDARG00000117656.1)". The record is from RNAcentral. Lineage: Eukaryota; Metazoa; Chordata; Actinopteri; Cypriniformes; Danionidae.